This 350-nucleotide ribosomal RNA is filed under the name uncultured diatom. Its description in RNAcentral is "SSU rRNA". It matches the Rfam family "Bacterial small subunit ribosomal RNA", at positions 524 to 872 of the family's 1533-position model. The record is from RNAcentral. Lineage: Eukaryota; Bacillariophyta.
GACGGAGGAUGCAAGUGUUAUCCGGAAUCACUGGGCGUAAAGCGUCUGUAGGUGGCUUAACAAGUCAACUGUUAAAUCUUGAAGCUCAACUUCGAAAUCGCAGUCGAAACUGUUAGGCUAGAGUAUAGUAGGGGUAAAGGGAAUUUCCAGUGGAGCGGUGAAAUGCGUAGAGAUUGGAAAGAACACCGAUGGCGAAGGCACUUUACUGGGCUAUUACUGACACUCAGAGACGAAAGCUAGGGUAGCAAAUGGGAUUAGAUACCCCAGUAGUCCUAGCCGUAAACAAUGGAUACUAGAUGUUGGGCAGAUCGACCUGUUCAGUAUCAAAGCUAACGCGUUAAGUAUCCCGC